GCUUCAUGUCCCUGAGCUCACGUUCAAGCCGGCUGAUCCAGUUUCCCAAGCUCUGCUAAUAUCUCAGCCUAAUGACCAAAUGCUGCUCACACCCAAGUCUACCGACCCGGUCACCCAAGUUCAGCCCACUGACACGCACAGCCAAGUUCUGCUCACGCGCCGGUCUGCCGACAGGCCCAGCCAAGUUCCGCUCACGCCACAGUCUGCUGACACGCCCAGCCAAGUUCCGCUCACGCCACAGUCUGCUGACACGCCCAGCCAAGCUCUGCUCGCGCCCCAGUCUGUGGACACGCACAGCCAAGCUCUGCUCGCGCCCCAGUCUGCUGACACGCCCAGCCAAGCUCCGCUCGCGCCCCAGUCUGCUGACACGCCUAGCCAAGCUCCGCCCACGCCACAGUCUGCUGACACGGCCAGCCAAGCUCCGCCCAUGCCCAAGUCUGCUGACACGCCUAGCCAAGCUCCGCUCGCGCCACAGUCUGCUGACACGCACCGCCAAGCUCCGCCCACGCCACAGUCUGCUGACACGGCCAGCCAAGCUCCGCCCAUGCCCAAGGUUCACCUAGUGACCUCAGAGCCUCAGUCUCCCUGUUCAGCUGUGGACAUCGCUCAGCCUCCCAGUUCAGCUGUGGACGUCACUCAGCCUCCCUAUUCAGCUGUGGACGUCGCUCAGCCUCCCUGUUCAGC
Ictalurus punctatus (channel catfish) is the source of this 684-nucleotide long non-coding RNA. NCBI's taxonomy places the organism in Eukaryota, Metazoa, Chordata, Actinopteri, Siluriformes, Ictaluridae. The record is from Ensembl.